CUUUUAUUAGUUACCAAAGCAAAAAAAUUUACUCUCUCUUGUUCUUAAAAAAGAAAAGAAAAUACCUGUGAAAAAUUUGAAAGAGAAGACCUGCGAAAUUAGGGUUUUCAUUGAUUUUAGCUUCUUCAACUUCUGUUGCAAUGUAUUGUGGUGAACCCGCAGUUCAUCACAUUCGCAAAUUUUACCAUGGAAUCGGAUAAAUAUAUAUGUGUAAGAGAGACGGACCCUCAGAACAGUGUGGUGAUUAUUGAUAUGAACAUGCCAAUGCAACCUUUGAGGCGUCCAAUUACGGCUGACUCUGUGCUUAUGAAUCCUAAUUCUAGAAUUUUGGCUCUAAAAGUUGAUGAGAUUGUUUGUUGGAGAGCCGAUGUGGACACCUUACAAUCGACCACAAGAAGAUCAUCCAGCAAGGAAGGAGUACAUCAAGAGUGUUACUGAAAGAGUAGGCAGAGUGCCUCUUGCAGCACACUGAGACGCGUAUUUCUUGUUAAAUAGAGCUCCUCAAGCCUGUAUAAGGAAAAUUUUUUAGAACGUAGGAAUAGAGGUUGGUGCCUACUCCGCGUGUACAUUGUGAUUAUUCUUCUAUUGAUUUCUACCCUUUUUUGUAUUUUUUGUAAAAUUAUCCCAUAAAAUUUGACAAAAAACUUUGUUAUUGUCAAGGUUAACUAGGCUGUGGAAUCAGGUAUAAUAGUUCCUUAG
Capsicum annuum is the source of this 699-nucleotide long non-coding RNA. RefSeq lists it as uncharacterized. The record is from RefSeq and is a predicted model, not a curated record. Lineage: Eukaryota; Viridiplantae; Streptophyta; Magnoliopsida; Solanales; Solanaceae. The transcript is spliced from 3 exons.